CAGGAAGAUAAAAGACCCAGAUUCCUGUUGCUCAGCAUGAGUUGGAGGUUGAAGAAAGGUAAUGUAUGACUGAGAUUGGCAUGGAAGGAGCAAGAAAAUAGCACUGAACCUGAAGGGGGACCUUCUGCAUGAGAAGAAAGACAAGGCCAAAACAAAAACGCCUUAGUGGAUGCUAACGAGGACAAGUGAAUCACUAGAACAAGACUCCCAUUCUCGUUCCUCAUCAAGCUCUUGGAAUUAGAUGUGACUUCAGAAAAAAUUUGUAGUUGUAAAAAAACACUGAAUAGAUGGAAAUUAAAUGGAGGGGUCAGUGCAGAAUAAAAACUCACAUGGUAAACUCUGUGAAGAUUUAAUGCAUCUAUUUUGAAGGUUGAGAGGAUUCAAUGUCACCGGGUUCAGCCUCUGUUCUUUCCCUAGAAACUCAGCCCCAGUGGAAAACCAUGGAUCUAAAGCUCCAGGUGAUUCUAA
Molecule: long non-coding RNA, 468 nt
Filed under: Chinchilla lanigera (long-tailed chinchilla)
Lineage: Eukaryota; Metazoa; Chordata; Mammalia; Rodentia; Chinchillidae
Description: lncRNA (ENSCLAG00000025200.1)
Source: RNAcentral